This 337-nucleotide unclassified non-coding RNA is filed under the name uncultured fungus. RNAcentral describes it as "partial contains 5.8S ribosomal RNA, internal transcribed spacer 2, and large subunit ribosomal RNA". The record is from RNAcentral. Lineage: Eukaryota; Fungi.
AACGCAUAUUGCGCUCGAGCCCUCGGGCAAGAGCAUGUCUGCCUCAGCGUCGGUUUACACCCUCACCCCUCCCAAUUUAUUGGGCGUGCUUUCUUACUGACAAGCCAUUGGGGUGGAUCUGACUUCCCCAAUCAGCUGCGGUGCUGAUUGGGUUGGUUGAAGUGCAGAGGUUUGAGUUAGGACCCGAUGUGGGCUUCAACUGGAUAGGUAGCUCCGGCAUCCGUCGACUACACGAAGUUGUUGCUUGUGGACCUCACUGAAAAACCAAGCAGGAACAUGCCUAUGGCAUGUCUAAACUUUCGACCUGAGCUCAGGCAAGGCUACCCGCUGAACUUAA